CAGCAGUCGCCACGGUAAUACGUAGGUCCCGAGCGUUGUCCGGAUUUAUUGGGCGUAAAGCGAGCGCAGGCGGUUAGAUAAGUCUGAAGUUAAAGGCCGUGGCUUAACCAUAGUACGCUUUGGAAACUGUUUAACUUGAGUGCAAGAGGGGAGAGUGGAAUUCCAUGUGUAGCGGUGAAAUGCGUAGAUAUAUGGAGGAGCACCGGUGGCGAAAGCGGCUCUCUGGCUUGUAACUGACGCUGAGGCUCGAAAGCGUGGGGAGCAAACAGGAUUAGAUACCCCGGUAGUCCCUGUCUCUUAUACA
RNAcentral lists this ribosomal RNA (304 nucleotides) under uncultured bacterium. Its description in RNAcentral is "partial 16S ribosomal RNA". It matches the Rfam family "Bacterial small subunit ribosomal RNA", at positions 506 to 808 of the family's 1533-position model. The record is from RNAcentral.